AGGGCACCACCAGGAGUGGAGCCUGCGGCUUAAUUUGACUCAACACGGGAAAACUCACCCGGCCCGGACACAGAGUGGAUUGACAGAUUGAGAGCUCUUUCUUGAUUCUGUGGGUGGUGGUGCAUGGCCGUUCUUAGUUGGUGGAGCGAUUUGUCUGGUUAAUUCCGGUAACGAACGAGACUCUAACCUACUAAAUAGUUCGGAACGAGCUUCGUGCUCGAUCAGACUUCUUAGAGAUACUGGCGGAUUCAAGCCGCACGAGAAUGAGCAAUAACAGGUCUGUGAUGCCCUUCGAUGUCCGGGGCUGCACGCGCGCUACACUGAAGUGUGCAGCGCGGCUUGCUACCUGCUCCGAAAGGAGUGGGGAACCAAGUGAGAAUACUUCGUGCUUGGGAUAGAGCAUUGUAACUAUUGCUCUUGAACGAGGAAUUCCCAGUAAGCGUGAGUCACUAGCUUGCGCUGAUUACGUCCCUGCCCUUUGUACACACCGCCCGUCGCUACUACCGAUUGAAUGAUUCA
Molecule: ribosomal RNA, 519 nt
Filed under: uncultured eukaryote
Lineage: Eukaryota
Description: bacterial SSU rRNA
Rfam family: Eukaryotic small subunit ribosomal RNA
Source: RNAcentral